GAAUAGAAGUGCCACUCGAGUCGGAACCUUUGAUGUAAAUGGCGCCGCGCAUGUCGCCUCGCGCAUCUCGGCCGCCAUCUUCCCAGCAAGUAAAAAUGGAGGAUUUUAUAUAGAGUUAUUAGGGAGUUAACUGCAAAAAGUGGAUUUUCAGCGGCGAUUUCCUUCUAAAUUAUCAAAAAAUGAAUGAUUUGUUUAAAAAGAAGGUAUGCGGUCUUAUCUAGUCUUAUUUACAAAGAAUAUUUAAAGUUUUGAAGCUGUAAUUUAACAAUUUAGUGCGGUGUUUUUCGUGACCGAGAUACUAUUCAUAGUUAGAUUUGAGUUAUUUUUAUAUUUUUGUUCGUAUUGCUACAAAAUAUAUUCUUACAUGAAAAUUUUGUAUUGCUUUACUUAAUUUUGAAAGACAUCAUGUUAUGUCAUACCGUUUCUGGUUGGUAAUUUGCAUAUUAAAUCCAACUUAUCCGAGCACAAUUUCAAGAAAUACAAUAAUCAUAUGUAUUGUUGGAAAUAUGCAAUUGGCUGGCUGAAAGAGACUUAAAGGUGAUCUACAGUCCGUAUGUAAACAAAGCCUUUGUUUACAUUUUUGUGUCCAAAAUAUUGAGCUUUAUUCGACAACUAUUUAUAUUUUCAAGCUUCUAGAGUAUAAUAAAUAAUCAAGAAACAACAAUCAGGCUUUUCAAGAACUCAAAACAUAGUUAAAACUGUUUGUAUCAUAAAAAGUGGGCUCAUUUGUGCACAUGCGCAGAUCGGACUGUAGAUCACCUUUAAGUUGAUCAGUACACUUUGUUUAAGUUUUCAAAUUAUUUAAUAUCCAUUUUAGUUUAAUAUUAGUGAUUCUCAUUACUGUUCUUGCAUGCACUUUAUACCAGUAUAUCACUGAUAUAUUUCCUUUUUUUGAUAUUUUUCAGUUUGAAAGAUCACAGAUGAAACAACUUCCAUGAUUUGAACAACUUCUACAAACAUUAACUUUAAUUGUAAUGCAAAAUGGGAAUAUUUUGUAAUAUGGAAAUUUUUUGUCAAUGUAGACAUAUGGUGACAAAAUGUUUGUGAUGAAAAUGUCUUCUAUAGUAAAUCUAGUUGUUCCACAUAUCCAAGAAAUUGUGCGGUUGUGCACACUUUUUUGCAGUUGUGAAAACUCACAACUGCAAAACCUCUACCUUUAAGCCUGAAAAGCACAAUAGACAUGCUUACGGCUCUUUCUUAAUGGUUCUAUUUGGCUGCUGAAGCAUAAUUUAAGAGAGGUCAAAUACACAAUUUGUGCAUAUUUUCAGAAUUCAAAAAGUGAGAGUCAUGGACACAUAACCCUUAACUCUUUUGGGCAUUCAUAACUUCAGCUCCAACAUUUCCAUGGCAACUACAUAUCGAACAUCUCGGCAAAGGUUAGGCCAUCAAAGCUAAUGACUUAGCUUUAUGAUGUAUAAAACCUUUGCAAAGACAUAUAUGAAAUGUUUUUUGAAGCUUUUCAAGACUAAAUUGUAUAAAUGUAUAUUUAAACACAACAAAAACAUCUCACAUUACAGAUUAGAUGACAAACUGUACAUGUUCUAAAGCUUGGUUCACACUACCAAUUUUGUAGUUGAUUUUCUAUUCUUGAUGGAUGCAAAUGUGUGAACUUGCACACAAAACUAUAGAAUAUUUUAUUGCUAUUCAGAAAUAUAUAUUUCUUAGUCUAAGUAGGGCACAUUGUGGCUCAAUGGGUUAACCUAGAGACAUGGUCAGAUUUUUUGGUGAACCAUUGAGCUGCAGAGCUUCCCCAUUGAUGAGUAAAAUUGUCUGGUGUUAGAUAGUCUGGCAUAAUGGAAGUGAACAGUUUUGUUCAUGAUGUAUGAUUCCAAUAAAAACUUGCUUUCUGUUAAGAUAGUAAAUUAUUACAAAUGUUAACAGGUGACAGAUAUAUUCAUCAGUGGUAUGUCUGUUACAUCUGUACAUCCAAAAUGGUCAUAAAAUUUAUAUUUAUUCAACCUUCACCAUAUAUAAUAAUAUUAAUAUUACUAGGGGUGGAUCCAGCAUGAUCUGGUGGUGGGGUGCUCUGCCAGCUCUGGUGCCGAGUUGUGUCGGUGAUGUGUGCUGCCCACCCAUCAACUUGCUUCGCUACUGCAAAGUCUUGCUUGACUACUGUAUUUGAAUUGUAAUUGUUCACAGUUCGCUUAUCAUCAUGUUAUUACUCAAAUUACUGUAUCUCAUUUUGUCUCUAAUAAUUUUUUGUUUUAUCAUGAAAUAUAGCAGAACCCCCUGCACCCCCUCUGGCCAGGGCUAGGGGGUGCACCCCGUCUGGCCAGGGCUAGGGGGUGCACCCCCCCCAGUAAAUCGACCCUGAAUAUUAAUAACAACAUGGAUACAAUACAUACAUUACAUUAUAAAUAUAUAAUACUACUGUAUACUAAUGACAAUUGCUGUGAAAGCACCACAACAGUUAAAACCAAUUACUGUGGGCCUUUUAACAACAAACGUCUAGAAACAGCAGUUAAUAACAUAGUUCAAACGUCGACAACCUUUAUAGUUUAAACACAGAUUUCCAUGUUCUUGCAUCCUCUGCAUCAAUGCAGGGCUUUCGAGUAAUAGUCUCCUAACAAUCUCUUAAAUGUAUUUGUACUUUUGUAAGAAUGUG
This 2605-nucleotide long non-coding RNA is filed under the name Paramuricea clavata. Lineage: Eukaryota; Metazoa; Cnidaria; Anthozoa; Malacalcyonacea; Plexauridae. The record is from RNAcentral.